UACGUGAUGAUAGAUACGAUGGCUAUGGU
Molecule: non-coding RNA, 29 nt
Filed under: Bombyx mori (domestic silkworm)
Lineage: Eukaryota; Metazoa; Arthropoda; Insecta; Lepidoptera; Bombycidae
Source: RNAcentral